UACGUAGGGGGCAAGCGCUGUCCGGAUUUAUUGGGCGUAAAGAGCGUGUAGGCGGUUAUACAGGUCCGCUGUGAAAACUGGAGGCUUAACCUCCAGACGUCGGUGGAAACCGUAUGACUAGAGUCCGGAAGAGGAGAGUGGAAUUCCUGGUGUAGCGGUGAAAUGCGCAGAUAUCAGGAAGAACACCCGUGGCGAAGGCGGCUCUCUGGGACGGUACUGACGCUGAGACGCGAAAGCGUGGGGAGCGAACAGG
RNAcentral lists this ribosomal RNA (253 nucleotides) under uncultured bacterium. Its description in RNAcentral is "partial 16S ribosomal RNA". It matches the Rfam family "Bacterial small subunit ribosomal RNA", at positions 524 to 776 of the family's 1533-position model. The record is from RNAcentral.